GACGAACGCUGGCGGCGUGCCUAAUACAUGCAAGUUGAGCGCUGAAGGUUGGUACUUGUUCCUACUGGAUGAGCAGCGAACGGGUGAGUAACGCGUGGGGAAUCUGCCUUUGAGCGGGGGACAACAUUUGGAAACGAAUGCUAAUACCGCAUAAAAACUUUAAACACAAGUUUUAAGUUUGAAAGAUGCAAUUGCAUCACUCAAAGAUGAUCCCGCGUUGUAUUAGCUAGUUGGUGAGGUAAAGGCUCACCAAGGCGAUGAUACAUAGCCGACCUGAGAGGGUGAUCGGCCACAUUGGGACUGAGACACGGCCCAAACUCCUACGGGAGGCAGCAGUAGGGAAUCUUCGGCAAUGGACGAAAGGCUGACCGGGCAACGCCGCGUGAGGGAAGAAGGUUUUCGGAUCGUAAAACUCUGUUGGUAGAGAAGAACGUUGGUGAGAGUGGAAAGCUCAUCAAGUGACGGUAACUACCCAGAAAGGGACGGCUAACUACGUG
Molecule: ribosomal RNA, 497 nt
Filed under: uncultured bacterium
Lineage: Bacteria
Description: partial 16S ribosomal RNA
Rfam family: Bacterial small subunit ribosomal RNA
Source: RNAcentral